AAAUGACUGACCUCCAGCAGGAAGUGUGCUUGCUUCAAGGGUGGAAGAACAAUGUGGAAACUGUGGACGCGGGUUUUCCAUUUUAAAGCGCUCAGUGGAACUUGUAGAGAAGUGACAGGCAAAGUUAGAGAGCACCUCUUCGCCCGCUGUCACAUGCACCUGGAUGUUAAGUGUGAUCUGAAACAAAUCCAGAUAGGAGUAAAUAAACAAUAUACUAUCAGAGAGCCACAACUCAUCAUAGCUCAGAACUUAACCCUAAUCUCUACCUGUCCAGUCUGGUCCUGUGUAACUUGAUAGGAAACCAUUUUGUGCUGAGAAUCAUCAGGAAUGGACAACCAGUCUGAGCCUUGGCAGUUUUCUUCAAAUGUACAGCUAGGAGAAGAAAAAAGGUAAGUCCUAUACAAGUUUUAAAUUCCUUUACUGAUGUUCACUGCAGAUGAUGUUUCUAACCUUUUUUCAGGGCCACACCAGACACAGUAUGGAUCCUGUGCAGACCAACAAUCCUGCACAGUUUUGUAUGUGCUGCACUUUGACACAGGAACACGAUUGAUCUAAAAAUAAACAUUUCAAAAUUUCAACUUAACAGCAUUUAAAAUACAGCAAAGAUAUACACUCACCGGCCACUUUAUUAGGUACACCUGUCCAACUGCUCGUUAACACUUAAUUUCUAAUCAGCCAAUCACAUGGCGGCAACUUAGUGCAUUUAGGCAUGUAGACAUGGUCAAGACAAUCUCCUGCAGUUCAAACCGAGAAUCAGUAUGGGGAAGAAAGGUGAUUUGAGUGACUUUGAACGUGGCAUGGUUGUUGGUGCCAGAAGGGCUGGUCUGAGUAUUUCAGAAACUGCUGAUCUACUGGGAUUUUCACGCACAACCAUCUCUAGGGUUUACAGAGAAUGGUCCGAAAAAGAAAAAAUAUCCAGUGAGCGGCAGUUCUGUGGGCGGAAAUGCCUUGUUGAUGCCAGAGGUCAGAGGAGAAUGGCCAGACUGGUUCGAGCUGAUAGAAAGGCAACAGUGACUCAAAUAACCACCCGUUACAACCAAGGUAGGCAGAAGAGCAUCUCUGAACGCACAGUACGUCGAACUUUGAGGCAGAUGGGCUUUGGGAUGUGGUGGAACGAGAGAUUCGCAUCAUGGAUGUGCAGCCGACAAAUCUGCGGCAACUGUGUGAUGCCAUCAUGUCAAUAUGGACCAAGCUCUCUGAGGAAUGCUUCCAGCACUUUGUUGAAUCUAUGCCACGAAGAAUUGAGGCAGUUCUGAAGGCAAAAGGGGGUCCAACCCGUUACUAGCAUGGUGUACCUAAUAAAGUGGCCGGUGAGUGUACUUAUAUGCAGUAUAAAUAACACCAGUAAAAAUUUGAAGUAUUUAAAUUUACUGAGUGAUCACCUUGACCUUGUAUGUGGUACUUGUACACUACACCUACCUGGUUUUGAAAUGGGACAUAAACAUGUUUCAGAUCCACCUGAUCCAGAUGUAGUUUUGAAAACACUUUGCGGUCGUCACUGGUUUUGAAGAGCACUUUGGGGCAGUUGGUCUGGUAGUUCUUGUCCACAGCAAGCUGAAAACAAAAAGGCGGUUUUGUUAUGUUUCUCUGGGAUGGUGCUGCUCUGCUGCUGGUGGGUAUUCCCAGAACGUAAUCCGCAGCCUCAGUCAAAGCUCGUGGUAAUUUGUUAAGUGGUACAGUUGCAUUUUCAUGUAUUUCUGUGGUUAUAGCAUUUCUCAAAUGCUUGGCCGCUAGCUGAUGACCCGCACCAUGAAGGAGAAACACUCAUUCUAUGCGUGACUUUCAGCCCUAAUGGGGAUGCUGUGGUGUUUUCUGACACCACUGAGAGCUCAGUCUAACCCUGCAUUCACCUGUGGUAGGGGGAAAAAACGGGUUUGGGAAUUUCAAAAGCCAUGAAAACCUUUUAUGGAUUAGAACCUGGAAAGCAACCUCAGAACCCACUGUGGCUACUUUUUGAUAAAGCCCAUGAGAGGAAAAUAAGACAACUUUCAUUGGUUUACAGUAGGGGUAUCCCAAUACAAUUUUUCUUUUCCCUGAUACGGUACCGAUAUUGUAGCCUUUGAUAUUGUCCAAUACCGAUAUUGAUCAGAUAUUAGUACAAACUUGGGCAUGAUAAGUCUUGCACUUAGCUGCAACAUCUUUUUUGGACUUAAAUGAAAAAUACAGCCACAGGGCCGACAUCACUCCUACUCCUUGCUACUUUGCUAGUACCUUCGUACACACUGUUGUUGUGAUCACAUGGGCUCUACAUGCUGGAUCCAGGUGCUGCUAGAUAGAGGUGCUGGAGUGGAGUCUGGAAUGGACUGCUUGUAUCGGAGUGCUGAUAUCGGAGAUUUUAGAUGCAGGCAGAUAUAAUCCGAUAUUUGAUUUUUUGUUGAUAUAGGACCGAUAUUUUAUAUUGAUAUCAUAUUGGGACACCCCUAGUUUAUAGUCCAGCAAGUUUCUUUUGCAUUUCCCUUGUUUUGAAGUGGUCGACAGCUCAAGAUGUAGCAAUGGAGUUGAGGGACUGACAACUCAAAACAAAGUGUCAGCUGCAGUUACACGUGUCUAAUACAUUACAAUACACAAUAGCUCACCAAACAGUGAAUGACAAAUCUGCAUCUGACUGUUUUUUAUUGUUUUGCCCUGUUGCUUGGUUUUUACUGUUGUUGUCUUGUUGUGCACUUUGAGAUUUGUUUUUAAAUGUAAAGUGCAUUACAAAUAAAAUCUAUUAUUAUUAUUAUUAUUAUUAUCCUGACUUGUUGCUGGGAUACAAUUUAUUUGCCUGUUCUGAUCUGCUGAUUAUUUAAUAUUUUAAAGUAACAUUUCUUUACUGUCCCUUCACAUCAUUAGUAUUUAGGGCUUAUUUCCAGUGACCUGUGCCAGAAUCUUUUCUAAAAUAUCAAGAUGAGUAAGAAGCUGGUCUGUGCAAGGGUCAAUAACUAUAUUUCUUACUGUAUGCACAGUCUGCCCAAUCUGAACAAACAUUUCAUAUCACUUCAUAUUUGAAGAAACAGGUUUAUAGGAGCAAUAAAGAGAGUUGAGGUUUACGUAAAUGCUCCUUUUCAGGGAAAACUUGGACAAAAAACAAAACUUUGGAUGUUAUAGAGUAUUGUGAUAAAUACAAAUGCAGAUCUCAUUACUCUACUUGAAGGCAAAACUAUAAUUUUCAGUUUUCUAUGCCAUAACUAUGUUCUCUCAAUAGUAUACUGUUUCAUCAAAUUACAUUUACUUUUAAAAUAUUAUUCUAUCAUUAUUCUCUAUUCUACUUAAUGCCACUAAAUAUUACAUGUUAUGCCUUUAAAUGGAAAUGACAGUAUUUAGAAACUUUAUGCCAUUUCCUGUAGUUAUCUUCUGCUAUUGCACCCAACUUUGUAAGACCAAACUUGUAUUUGUGAGGUGUCAGUUUGUCAUAUUUAUUUCCAAAAUAGUGAUUUAUUCAUGGGUAACAGAGGGACACUGUUAAAGGGGUCACCACCCAGACAUUCCUAGUAAACAAAACCAAGGUUGACAUUUGUUGGACUUCCACAGAAUAGUGUGUUUUUUAUAUACUAGCUGUGAAAAGUUGCCCUUAUUUACAUUAUACUUAAUCAAGUAGCAUUUCUGUAGCAUGAGAUCAAUCAGAUCGGUAUUGUGUUUUGUCAGGACAUACAAUCUUAUAGUGUUACUUUUGUCAAAAUUUGUUGAAACUACGAUAAGCUUUAGUUAACCAAACUACUCUUCUCUCUCGGGUACCUUAGCCAUUUUUUAAUUUUCUCCUGUGCGUUGUAAUCUUGAGCUUCAAGGCUCUGCUUUUAGAGCAGCUAUUCCAUCCCUUUAUGUCCCUUUGUAGACUCACCUUAAUAAGCUGUCCAUCUCCUGUCCCGAUGAAGAAAACUAUCCAGGCCUUUUGUCUCACUGCCAGCACAGAGGUCAUGUAGUUCUGCUUGAAGACCACCGCCUUCUGCUUCAGUGUCUUUGGCUGAGAAACACAAUAAAUUCAUAAUUAGACAUAAUUAAUUUUGUAAGUAUUAGAGGGUAAAGUGUUGAUGGUCAAAUGUCUAUCAGGCUUCAAAACUGACCCAUCAUCUUUUAUAAACCUUCAUAAACUGAUUUGAUGGUUUAGUAAGUUCAGCUUCAGUAAGUACAACUUUGUAACUUCCUAAAAAGCUAUCAGAGGAGAGACAAGACUGCACUUUGAGAUUGUUUUAACACUUUUAAUUUUCUACUCAUUUUAAACAAUUUUAAAAUUCUCUUUAUCCAAGUAAUAUAAUCUUGCAUUCUUUUAGAAAAAUGUUUUAAAAAUUGAAUUAACCUUUUAAUUAAUGAUAUGUUGGAGGUAAAGAUGGAUGUGGACACAAGUGCUCAUUAAAGCAACAUAAUUUGACGACCACCCACCGUUGGUCUGUUCCUGUCACCACAGUCAGAGCAGAAGUCCGGGUCCACAUCGGUCCUUCCUCUAAGAUCAGGACUGAUGUCAAACACCACCAGCUCGGUCUUAGUUUGUCCUUCGCCCACACUGAACACACCGCCCCAGAGCACCGGCGGACCGUCAGGGAUGACCGAGGAGGCGAUCAGUCUGCGGUCUUCACCUCCAUCAGAGACACUGAGGGUCGCACCCCGCAACGACGCAAGACUCUUACCUUUACCUCCUUUGCCAACAAGCCAAAGCAGACGGACUUUGUUGCUUUCAUAUUUUGAGGGCAGAUUAGAAAAAAGAUAAAUGAUGGAGUUAAUCUGAAAUCCAUCCACAAACUCCACAUCGACCUGGAUGGGGAGUUUGGUCACAACGUCCACAUCGUCCUUGAGUUUGAUUGCAGAAUUUGUGUCCUGGAUAUAAAGAGAAAAUAUUUGUCCUGUCUGGUCGUUAUUGGUGUUGUGAAGGCUCACUGCCUCUGACACAGAGGGACAGAUGUCCUUUGUCGGUUCGUCUUUGUAUUGCUGAAUAGCAGCCAGAAUGUAAGUCUCUGUCCGGGUUUGAGUCUCCACAUUCACCAGGAAACUCACGGACGCGCUGCUGCGCCGCAGAGACCCCACCUGGAUGAGUUCCCGGUACAGCACGUUGGAAAUGUUCUUCAAGUCCAGCAGCUCACAGUAACCACACCCGUUAUCAAUCAAACCACAUGUUAUCAGAUUGUUAUCGGCAACAAGCGGCAACAACACGUUAACACUGAAAGUUGCGUUCAACUUCUCCGUCUCAGAAACUCGUUUAAACUUCGCGUCAGUCGACUCAGGAGCGUAUUCCAAGAUCCCCUUCUGGGUCAGACUCUGGACCAGAGUCAGGUCGUGACUCAGCUGGUACAGCAUCUUUUCAGUGGCGAUAUAAACCGUGCCGUUGGUUACGGCGUAGUGGCGGAUGUCUCCCUUGAAGCGGAACUCUCUGUCCUCCUCCAGACACUGACCUGUUCCUCCCCAGAGAAUGAACAACAGAGCGGGCAGCAGGAGCACCAUCGUGCAGCGGUGUCGACUUCUCUCUCAUUUACUGCUGGCCCUCAUGACUCUCUGCUCUCUCACAGAGUGUCACUGGAGUCGCGCGUAAAAGCGCAGUGCGCCUCUGCCGAAAGGAGAAGUGCAGAAGUGGGAGGGCGCGCGUCCAACGAAACCGAAAACUGGCACCGUAAUGUUUGUGAUCAUCGGCACCAGAAUUUUUUUUCACAGUGCUCGAUUUGUCACACUUCUACUUUAUUUAAAUCCAAAGCAAAUACAGUUUACCUCAGUGAUGAUAGCCUCCAGAUUUUGGAAAAUUAAUCAACUGCGAUCGACCUCAAGUACCAAACGCGAGGAGGAACAUCAUUGCCACACCAAUGCACGUCAAUGGAGCUUUUAUUUUUGCUCUUUUUCAUCACCUCUCUGCGUAUCCAGUCAACAGUUUUGUCAGCUGAUGAGUGGGUGACAUCUAGUGCCAGUUUGGGGAAGUUUUUCUUCCGCUCAAAGCGUACUGUGCUCUUUAUAAACACACUCUGAACAUGUACUGAGGUGGUUUCUUUGACCUUCAUCUGAAUCAUCUAGCCUAUCUAACAAUCUGGAUCACUUGGGCAACCAUCCUCUUUGUAUUUCUUUACGCUUUGACAACCCAAAGACCAUGUGUUUCAGUAUACAUCCUAUCAUUACUAAAUUUGCCCCUUUAACCACAUGCUAAUUUGUUCUCCUGGAAUUACAGGUGUGUUUCAGCAAGUCAGAUAUGCUAAAAAUCCUCUAAGCUUGGCCCCAACCCUGAGAAGUGGACUUAGAGUGCAUCAAAAGACUGGACCAGGAGACUACCACUACCAUAUUCCUAGUACCAAGCCAGCCCUGAACCAGAGAAAAUGUCAUCUUACUUGGAUUCAGGAGAAAAAGACUCGACUGUUGCUCCAAGGUCCAAAGUCCUCUUUUCAGGUCAGUAAAAUCAUAUUUUUUCUUGGAAACCAGGGUCUUUCAGUUUGAAGGACAAGUACUGGAGCUUGGUCACUCCAUGUGAGGACCCUGAUGCUGAUGUUGAUUCCCUUUUCAGGCUGGAUUUAGCACCUGCUCUCAGCGCCAAAACUGCUACUAAACGAUUUGCUGACCAUGAUAGCUGAAACUGAUUUACAGGUCUAUCAGGGCAGGUUCAAGCCCCCUUUACUUAAACCUGAAUCUGUCUGACAUUUGACAAGAAGAGCAGAAACCCCAGAGUCAAAAAUACAGACUGGCUUAUUAAGACGACUAUCACAGUAACCUUGGUCUCUGUGUAGCUAGCUUAAAGGUUGUCUGUGGUACUAUCGCCUCUCUGGCCGUUAGGUUUUGUUUACAAUGCUGUCAGUCAUAAAUAUGCUUUCAUUCAAAGGCCUUUCCUUAAAUAGUUUUAAACAAUUGAUAUAAAUGGUGUUAUAGCUUUAGUAGGAGCUCUAGACCUCGAAAAUUUCAAUUGGCUGUGUGCUUCCUGCGGGUAAAAUGGAUGCAAAUGACUCGGUCCACUCGCCAUAAAACACCCUGUUCUCAUUCUCUACCUUUCGUGGUUUUGAAGCCGACAUGUUUAGCUGCUGCUACAACUUUCUCCUCAGUCUGCAGCCUGACAGUUUUCAACAUCGGGAUUGCUCGGUAAUCAUCAUGUGUGGAGUAGGCUAAGAGGUCUGAUUUGAUUGACAAGUCAAGCGAGUAAGCAAAUGAUGUAAUGCCUUGCUUAAAUUGCACGUGCAGUUUACUGAACCAGGCACAAAGCAAGAGAGUAAGGCUGCACGAUAUUGGAAAAAAAUAACAGUGCGAUUUUUUUCAACCCUGCGAUAUAUAUUGCGAUAUUAAAAAUACGGGAAUUUUCACCAGAUGACCUGAAUAGCAUUUAAUGUUAUGCUGCACCGCUGAAAUCUUGAGGACAGUUAACCUGCACUGAUCUUACCUCUUUUUGUGAAUGUUAAAAUGGCUUCUGUCUGUCUCAGAGAUAUUUUUAGCUUUUAUUGUGCUGGGACGUUAUUGUGGCGACAGAUGAACACAGAACACGUGUUUUGGUCAACAUCAUCCUUCUUUUAACCGAAAUAAUUCCAGAUAACUGACUUUCCUUUUCUUUUUGGCAACAAAUCUUCAUUUUCGGUGGUUUUCUCUUGUUCGUUGCUCAUUUUGCAAUCGUUGUUGUUGUUGUUAGCGGUGCUGUGCCGAGAAACGCAUGUCCUCCGAGAAUUGCAUGCACCUCGCAAAACGCGCACCGCUUAUAGUAGAGUGGUCCACGGAAAUGUACAAUUUAAAACCCAUACAGUUCUUAUUUGUUGGGCUUAACAGUCAGUAAAGUUCCGAAAGUAAUUCUCAGCGGACGCGCAUUUCUCGGCUCAACACCAGCAGCGAGUACCUCCAUGUGCAGAACAUGUGCAGGGGUGGGUUUCCGCCUCUCUGAUUUUGAUUGACAGCUGGCAGGGUAGUCUGAUUGGCAACUGAGAACUGAGUCUGAUUGGCAACUGAGUAAAGGACAAAGGUGAUUGGUGGAUCGGUGCACAGCACAUGCAGAGUCACAUGCUGUGUAUCUCAGUCAGCUACCCUUGAAUUAACUGAGUUCAUUCACCUCCGACAUCGCAGGCUCUGCGAUGUGACUGUCACACACACGUAUAUCGUGCAGGCCUACAAGAGAGAAAAAAAACAUACAUUUUUAUGCGGUAGGCUCGGGUCCGUAUUGGACUCUUUCCCGGUCCGGAAGUGGACCGCGGUCCGCCAUAUGGAGACCACUGGUCUAGAUUCAUUAUAUUUUUAGAUGGAAUUUAGACGUUGCACUUUAACCCAUUAUUCAAUAACCACCUAUUUCAAAAAGUAACUGUGAGUUGAACUGUCUCCGAGUACUUAACCAAAAUAAUUAUGAUAAACAUUGAGCGAUAUACAGUUAGACCUCUGUUAGCCGGCUAGUCUAAACUGGGUUUAAAUUUAGAAGUCUAAAAACCUUUCAUUUUUAGACCUGUGGUAGCCUGAUUUUAGACCAGUCGUCUAGACUACUAGACGUCUAUUAGACCUCUUUUAGACCAAAAUUUCUCAUUGGGAUGAGCACGCCCGUGUUCCCUUAGUUGUAAAUUUUACCUCAUCAUACCAGCGAUGCAAAAGUGUUAACGGGAUAAUAUUUAAGAUGCAUAUCAUUGAGUGUAAAUUAGUUUACUCAUGUUAGAAUGUCAUUUUCAGGUGAUAGAACACAGAAUUGGAUGAACUUGUUUUCUUAAACCAAAUGUUGACCGAAAAAAUGUUUAUUAACAUACAACAUUCAAGUACUUCAAACAAUUGACAUAUUAACACAAUUUAGCCACUCCAGGUAGCAUUUGUUUGCCAUCAGAUACAUUGAUAAAAGGAAAAAAUUUUGAAAGAGAAAAAAAGGUGGUUACUGCAAGCUUUUAGAGUGUUAGUGGGAGGCAAAAUUUGAGCGUCAAAGAGCAUCAACAGGCAAAACAUUCAACGCAAAAAAAAUUGACUCAGUGUGGGGGAGAAUAAGAAGAGUCUGACACAGUCCUGGAUGGGCCAGCACACAGGAGAGGUGAUGUCCUGAUGUUGAGCUCCAGGUUUUCCAUGAUCUUGUUCAUCUUUACAUUCAGCUUCUUUUGUUGCUUAGAUAAAGGAUCCCCACAACUGGGAGAUAAAACCAAGCAGACAACACAGUUUUUUCCAGAUUUGUCAGUGUUUUUAAAACUGCUGUAAGACCAAAAUAGGCCGUCUAACCAUGAAAGGGUACUUACCAACAAUAAUUAAUGGGAUCUGUUGUAAGACAAGCAGUAUCAGGAAGAGAGGAGACCAUGAUGCAGAUUCAAGGAUUUCUGUUUUGUCUCCAUACUUUAUCUGGGACAAAGAAACAAUCAAACUGUAUAAGAAAGGAUUUCAAAAAGGAAGUCUGUGUUUCUGUAAAAGCUUUAGAGACACAUGUAUAUUUUAUCUAUCAAAAGCAUGGUUUAAUUUGGAGUGGCACGACUAAAAACUUACCUCCAAUUCUUGAAAAUCUGUGAUGCUUGAAUUUUUAAUCUCACAAAUGAAAUACUCGGUGUUGCCACUGGCUCCUUUCUCUUCCAUUUCGCAGGGGUAUUUUUGUCCUUCAUGAAUACCCCACACUGAUAUCUCUUCAGGGCUCAUCUCGAGUUUGUCUGCCUUUUUCUGAAACAAGAACAGAAAAAAAUUGCUGAUAUUCAAAUUUUAAUCUCCUCAUUGCGCAUGUGUGCUGGAAAAUCUUGCAUUACCUGUAUAGUGAUGUGGACACUGUCCCCUAUCUUUGUAGACGUGAAGCUUGUAAACUCAGGGUCUGGGUAGUAGGUUAUUUUUGUGGGACAGGUCAAGCUCUCAUUGGCUACUUUCAGGGUCAAAGUGCUGGAAAAAGUCCCUUGAGCAUUUUCAGCUGCAGGUGAGUCGUAGGUGAGAUUCUUGAGUGCCUGUCAAAAACAUUUUGUGUCACGUUAUAGAGAGCUUACAUCUUGUUACAUGAUACACAUACCGAUCAGAAAUCAUGCACGACUAUAAUUGGAGCCAUUUGGAGGGGCCGACUGUUCAUGAAUAGCUUCUUGGAUGCAAUGAAAACAGUAUAAUCUGUGAUUGUAUUUGUCAAACCCUGUACUAUCUGACUUCCACUGUUUUGUAAGAUCAAGCAAAGGCCUUUACAUAUGCCUGAAUAAUUACACAAAAUAAAAACAAGUAGACUAACUCGUACACAUUUUGUUCACUACCGUUUUAAAGAAAACUAAUCAGUUGAAUUAUUUUAACCUCCCAUAUUUUGAUUAUUUCUGAUUAUUACAGACCAACCUGAUAGGUAUUGUGUCCUGGAAAUCCAACCUCCUGCAGGACUCCACUGUGUUUAACGGCUUCCACAAACUCCAGGUGGGAUCCAAUGAUUGUGAUCUUCCUUUUCCAGCUACGGCACACAGAGCAGUAAGCAAUCAAAUAAGAAUGUGUCACUAGAAAUAAUCAGAUUACACACAGCACUCUUAUAGCACCGUAUGUGGAGAAGAGCUACAGGACAUAUAGUUUAGGAUGUCACCUCUUCCUGUUCACAAUGGUAAAAUGUUAUUUAAGGAUUGGUAGACAUGAAGGAUAUCCUCAAUAUAACUAUCAAAAUUACUUUGAAGAAGUGCACAAAACUUUAGAUUGGGGGUUUACAGCAAAUGAAGGAUAUAUGUUUUAAUGAAAUAAUCUUGAAAUCGAUUUUUAGUGUAAAGGUAUUUUUAAAGUUGGUUAUUCGCCAAAUUUAAAAAGUAAAAUAAUGUACAGUAAGCCGAUGGUUAGGCAAAAUAGAGCUCCAAGAAGUGAGGAUUUUUUGUAGUAUUUAACUACAUCAGUAAUGUCUUGAUAUGUCAAGGGUAAUCUUGUUUAUCAAAGUCUAUAUGUUAGCAUUUUUAUGGUUUCUAUAGUCCUAAAACAGUCAUACCUGAACCAGGUGCUUUCAGGUGUAAUUUUUGUGCAGGAUGGUGCUGAGCGAUAGGUGAUUAAGGCGUUACCAUGUCAGCUACCAUCUGGGAGGAGAGCACAUACUUUGGCCACACCUUUAGAUUUUGCACUGGGUAUGUGGAACGUCAGAGUUUCACCAGUGUUGUUCCAAACAGGAGACCUAACCAGAGUGCACAGAGUGAGACAAAGAGAAACUGAAGCAGUGAGAUUCACAGAAGAUAAAAUGUAAUUUUCAGCACUACAAAUUCUUUUAAAGUAAAGUCAAUUUAAUAUUUAUAUAUUAAAUGUUUGUGUUUUGACAAUCCUCAACAUCCUCAAACUACUUUAGCCAAUAAACUUACAUUACCUAUUAAGUUGCCUAUUGUCAACCAUAUAGUAUAAAUACAAAUUUCAGCAAUCUCAAGAAUACACACUUCAACUUAAAAAUUAAGGGAUUUAAAAAAAAAACAGUAAUUGAUAGUGUGUCUCAAUCCAGGUUACAAAUGUAAAUAAACGCUUUUUGCUUUUAACACAACCAAUAUAAGGGUUGUAGCAUUCUUGCUAGAUUUAACACCCUCACAUAAUUGCUUCUUAACAAAAACUAAAAAAAUAUUCUUAAAUCAUUUUUUUUGUAUACACGAGACACGAAAUAUGUGUACAAACCUUGUGCCUCUAUCAAAUCAAAAUUUCAAUGAUCUUUUAAUUACGUUGAUCAAACUGAAUUUACAGUUUCUCUUAUUCCUUGGUCUCCACAUUUCUUUUCAGAAUAAAAGCGUCUGAAUUUACAGGAAACAAUCAUAUUCGUUUGAGAGGAUACUUUCAAAGUAAAAUGAACAACAACAUACUAUUAGGUUAUUUCUGUUUUAAUGCAAGAAUAUACAAAUGUCAUCUAUACAACAUACUUUUUGAAAAAUAGACCAAAGUAAGAAGCAUACUACUAAUAUCUGGCACAAACAAUAUAAUAUCUGUUUUAACUGACAAGAUGUCAAAGCUGAACACAACUAACUGAGAUUACAUUUGGAACUAUGAAAUUGGAUCCUGCGAUCCAUUUUCUAUUAUCCGACAAUGGUUCAGCUUCAGAGGAAAAUUACUAAUGGAUUCUGUUUAAGCCGUUAGAUAACACCAUGCAGCCAAAAACUAUACUACAAAAUAGAUGUGAGAAACCCUCUGGUACCAAACUUUUUCUGCUUUUAUGUGUUGAUAGCUGUUGGAACAGAUCACAAAAUAUCACAACACAAAAAAAUUAAAGAAAAUAUAAGAACAAAGACAGAUUUGUCAGGGCAAACUGUCAAACAUUUGUGUCUCAAAACCAGGCAACAUCUUAAGACACCUCUUUAGCAACCCUGUUUAAAAGACUCAUUCAAACAUUAGAGAGGAAUCAUGAAUUAGCUUGAAAAUCUUCAAUUUAAAGGGCAAAUACACUGUUUUAGUUUCAAGCAGGUCCCGAAGUAACUGUGAUCUAUUUUGAAAUAGUAAAAUGUGUGAAUUCUCAAUCUGACUGCCUUUUUUGUAUCAUUGAAGCUUUUGAAAUGUGAUUUUUAAGUGUGAAUAAAUCCCAUACAGUCACCCAUAAACUGACUCACUCUUGUGGUGUGCAGUCCAGGUCUGCCUGGAUCCUCACUCUGAUCACAGAACAGAGGUUUCUACCAGACAACACUGCGUUGUUUCUGCCGUGGAAAGACACAACACUGGGAGUGAUGGAGGAUAUCUGUGGUCUCUGACAGUCAAACC
RNAcentral lists this long non-coding RNA (12510 nucleotides) under Xyrichtys novacula (pearly razorfish). The record is from RNAcentral. Lineage: Eukaryota; Metazoa; Chordata; Actinopteri; Labriformes; Labridae.